AAACUCUGAUAUCAUGUGUGGUCCGAGUCAUAUGCAAUAACUAAAACUUUCAACAACGGAUCUCUUGGUUCUGGCAUCGAUGAAGAACGCAGCGAAAUGCGAUAAGUAAUGUGAAAUGCAGAAUUCAGUGAAUCAUCGAAUCUUUGAACGCACAUUGCGCCCCUUGGUAUUCCGAGGGGCAUACCUGUUCGAGCGUCAUUA
RNAcentral lists this ribosomal RNA (201 nucleotides) under Lobaria macaronesica. RNAcentral describes it as "5.8S ribosomal RNA". The stretch from base 45 to 198 matches the Rfam family "5.8S ribosomal RNA". Rfam says of the family: 5.8S ribosomal RNA (5.8S rRNA) is a component of the large subunit of the eukaryotic ribosome. The record is from RNAcentral. Lineage: Eukaryota; Fungi; Ascomycota; Lecanoromycetes; Peltigerales; Lobariaceae.